This 465-nucleotide ribosomal RNA is filed under the name Vreelandella stevensii. Its description in RNAcentral is "partial 16S ribosomal RNA". It matches the Rfam family "Bacterial small subunit ribosomal RNA", at positions 338 to 795 of the family's 1533-position model. The record is from RNAcentral. Lineage: Bacteria; Pseudomonadati; Pseudomonadota; Gammaproteobacteria; Oceanospirillales; Halomonadaceae.
CCUACGGGUGGCAGCAGUGGGGAAUAUUGGACAAUGGGGGGAACCCUGAUCCAGCCAUGCCGCGUGUGUGAAGAAGGCCCUCGGGUUGUAAAGCACUUUCAGUGAGGAAGAACGCCUGGUGGUUAAUACCCAGCAGGAAAGACAUCACUCACAGAAGAAGCACCGGCUAACUCCGUGCCAGCAGCCGCGGUAAUACGGAGGGUGCGAGCGUUAAUCGGAAUUACUGGGCGUAAAGCGCGCGUAGGUGGCUUGAUAAGCCGGUUGUGAAAGCCCCGGGCUCAACCUGGGAACGGCAUCCGGAACUGUCAAGCUAGAGUGCAGGAGAGGAAGGUAGAAUUCCCGGUGUAGCGGUGAAAUGCGUAGAGAUCGGGAGGAAUACCAGUGGCGAAGGCGGCCUUCUGGACUGACACUGACACUGAGGUGCGAAAGCGUGGGUAGCAAACAGGAUUAGAUACCCGAGUAGUC